RNAcentral lists this ribosomal RNA (490 nucleotides) under uncultured bacterium. RNAcentral's name for it is "partial 16S ribosomal RNA". It matches the Rfam family "Bacterial small subunit ribosomal RNA", at positions 30 to 507 of the family's 1533-position model. The record is from RNAcentral.
AUUGAACGCUGGCGGCAGGCCUAACACAUGCAAGUCGAACGGUAACAGGAAGAAGCUUGCUUCUUUGCUGACGAGUGGCGGACGGGUGAGUAAUGUCUGUGAAACUGCCUGAUGGAGGGGGAUAACUACUGGAAACGGUAGCUAAUACCGCAUAACGUCGCAAGACCAAAGAGGGGGACCUUCGGGCCUCUUUCCAUCGGAUGUGCCCAGAUGGGAUUAGCUAGUAGGUGGGGUAACGGCUCACCUAGGCGACGAUCCCUAGCUGGUCUGAGAGGAUGACCAGCCACACUGGAACUGAGACACGGUCCAGACUCCUACGGGAGGCAGCAGUGGGGAAUAUUGCACAAUGGGCGCAAGCCUGAUGCAGCCAUGCCGCGUGUAUGAAGAAGGCCUUCGGGUUGUAAAGUACUUUCAGCGGGGAGGAAGGGAGUAAAGUUAAUACCUUUACUCAUUGACGUUACCCGCAGAAGAAGCACCGGCUAACUCCGUG